UCCUUGUUACGUUCAAUUUAUGUCCACGGACGUAAAUCGGACAUACGGACAUAAAUUGGACGUGAAACGUACAUUCAUUGGUCAUACAUACAUCAACACAUACAUCAACUCCGUUUAAAGCAAGUUGUGGAACUGGGCCUAAGGAGCCUUAUUGGCUUCCUUAUCUCAAGGGAGGUCACGAGCUUCCUUGAAGAGGAGAUGCCGCCUUUGGUCUGUUCGUUUUUGCUGCCCUUCUGAACUAACGCAAAAGUUAGAGUGAAAUAAAUAUAUUUUCUCUUACUCUAAUGUGUUAGUUCAGAAGUGCAGCGAAAAUGAACAGACCACUUUUAGCACAUGAUGCGCAGAGUACACAGAACAAAGUGUAUAAGGAAAAAAAGAAUCUUGGACAAUGUAUUUUUAAAUGAUUCUGACGUGGGAUUUGAGGACGAAAAUUCAGAGGAUCCGAUUCUGUGUCGAUCUGUGAAAAGGUACAUUCGUGAUUAGGAAAACCCCUUAGAAUUUUUCGAAGAUGUUCCUUUUCGGAAAAGGUUCAGCAAAGAAGCUGUGAUUGCGAUCUUAUUACCUCUCGUAAAUGCUCGUAAAUGGUUGAGGCGAUUGAACAACUGUGGUUUCUCCAUUAAUGCUUAAUGGCACUGCGCAACAAGCAGCUUUCAGAUUGUUAAUGGAGACUUGCGAGGAUACAGUCAAGCAUCAAUAUCGAGAAUUGUUGCAUGAGUUUCCAGAAUUUUAGCAUCAUAUUUGAAUGCAUAUAUUAAUUUUUCUACCGAACAAAAACGUCGAGAUAAUAAAAAUAAAGCCAACUGUUCAUCCACAAUAAGAUGUAUCGAUUGCAGCCAUAUACCAUACGCAUAGCGAAUCUUGGAGGAAGUAAUAGAGAGGUAUUCCGGAAUCGGAAAGGAUGGUUCUCUCUAAAUGUUGGCCCUCAACGAGAAAUUCUUGACAUAGUUAUCAGGCAUCCAGAUUCAACUCAUGAUGCCGUAAUAUUUGAUUGAAGCGGUCUAAGCUGUCGUUUCGAGCUAGGACACCUAAUGGCGCGAUUCUUUAACUCGUUAUUGGAGUUAACAACACUUUCGUUACUGCUGCGCAGCUUUUGUAUAUCGUAGAAAAGCUGCGCAAUGAUAACGAAACUGUCGUUAACUCCAAUAACGAGUUAAAGAAUCGCACCACUGGACGGCAUUUUAUUUGGUGUUAGUGAAUAUGCGUGCCGCAGUUAUCUACUGACGCCUGUUUUAAGACAGACGCAGAAAUUCGAUA
This 1254-nucleotide long non-coding RNA is filed under the name Harpegnathos saltator (Jerdon's jumping ant). Its description in RNAcentral is "uncharacterized LOC105186206, transcript variant X1". The record is from RNAcentral. Lineage: Eukaryota; Metazoa; Arthropoda; Insecta; Hymenoptera; Formicidae.